RNAcentral lists this transfer RNA (80 nucleotides) under Cyanobium sp. ARS6. RNAcentral describes it as "tRNA-His(atg)". The record is from RNAcentral. Lineage: Bacteria; Bacillati; Cyanobacteriota; Cyanophyceae; Synechococcales; Prochlorococcaceae.
CCGUGCAGGUGGUGCUGGAUACCACUCCCUUCUAUGGCGAGGGAGGCGGUCAGGUGGGUGAUCGCGGCACUCUGGCCGGU